This 460-nucleotide ribosomal RNA is filed under the name uncultured bacterium. RNAcentral's name for it is "partial 16S ribosomal RNA". It matches the Rfam family "Bacterial small subunit ribosomal RNA", at positions 338 to 795 of the family's 1533-position model. The record is from RNAcentral.
CCUACGGGAGGCAGCAGUGAGGAAUAUUGGUCAAUGGGCGGAAGCCUGAACCAGCCAAGUCGCGUGAGGGAUUAAGGCCCUGCGGGUCGUAAACCUCUUUUGCCGGGGAGCAGAGGUCCGGACGUGUCCGGGCCGGGAGAGUACCAGGAGAAAAAGCAUCGGCUAACUCCGUGCCAGCAGCCGCGGUAAUACGGAGGAUGCGAGCGUUAUCCGGAUUUAUUGGGUUUAAAGGGUGCGUAGGCGGGCAUUUAAGCCGGCGGUCAAAUGUCGGGGCUCAACCCCGGCCUGCCGUCGGAACUGGGUGCCUUGAGUGGACGAGAGGUAGGCGGAAUGCGUGGUGUAGCGGUGAAAUGCAUAGAUAUCACGCGGAACCCCGAUUGCGAAGGCAGCAUACCGGAGCCCUACUGACGCUGAGGCACGAAAGUGUGGGUAUCGAACAGGAUUAGAUACCCGAGUAGUC